GUAUUGAUCGCGCAUUAUCGCGCAAAGGACAUUCUACUACCGUAUUCAAAUGGGUGUCUGUGUUAAAACGCAAGCACCCCUUUCGAGAAAGGGGGUCCCACGCGGUGAUGCACAAAGGGUGAGAUGGACAUGUGUGAGAACACUCGAGCGUGCACGACCUUUCAACAAAGUCAGCGACAGCCCUCGUGCCUCCAUUGUACGAUAAUGAUCCUUCCGCAGGUUCACCUACGGAAA
This 234-nucleotide unclassified non-coding RNA is filed under the name uncultured fungus. Its description in RNAcentral is "sequence contains ITS1". The record is from RNAcentral. Lineage: Eukaryota; Fungi.